GUCAUAAUCGUCUGGACCAUAUAUGAUAAUUGUUUAAUGGUAGUUAUUGAUAGAUCUUGAAGAUGUCAAGUUAUAGGUGCAUAUAGCACGUUCAUUGUAAGAGGGGAAGAGAUGCUGUGUAUUUUGGGCUAACUCAAAUUCCGUAGUAGAAAAACCCCGGAAGUGGGAUGGGCGCAUUCUGUGUUGUUGUGGUACGCCCUGUGAACGCACUGUGAGUAAGGAAUAAAGCGGUUAUCAUUCACGUCGUUGUCCGACCUAUUCUUGCUAUCUAAGAACCUGGAAAAUAGUAACGAUAUGACAUAUAUCACGGGUCAUUACGACGAGUUUGGUGGAGUUUUUACUGCUUCUUCCAACUCCUACCGCGCUGACUGCUUCAAGUCAUUCGUUUGGAAGCACUUUGGAUUCCAAAGAAAAGAUGGCUCAACGGACAAGACACGUGCAGUUUGUAAAUUCUGCCAUGUGGUGAUCAAAUAUUCAGGGACCACAAAUCUCGCCGCACAUUUAAAGAAAAAACACGAUAUCAAAGUUCAAUGUUAAAAUAAGCACUUUGUAUACUACAAUACUCUUGUAAUUUCCUAAAUAAAGAGUUUGCAGUA
Long non-coding RNA from Syngnathus typhle (broad-nosed pipefish), 596 nucleotides. RefSeq lists it as uncharacterized. The record is from RefSeq and is a predicted model, not a curated record. Lineage: Eukaryota; Metazoa; Chordata; Actinopteri; Syngnathiformes; Syngnathidae. The transcript is spliced from 2 exons.